UACGGAGGGUGCAAGCGUUAUCCGGAUUCACUGGGUUUAAAGGGUGCGUAGGUGGGUUGGUAAGUCAGUGGUGAAAUCUCCGAGCUUAACUUGGAAACUGCCAUUGAUACUAUCAGUCUUGAAUAUUGUGGAGGUCAGCGGAAUAUGUCAUGUAGCGGUGAAAUGCUUAGAUAUGACAUAGAACACCAGUUGCGAAGGCAGCUGGCUACACAUAUAUUGACACUGAGGCACGAAAGCGUGGGGAUCAAACAGG
RNAcentral lists this ribosomal RNA (253 nucleotides) under uncultured bacterium. Its description in RNAcentral is "partial 16S ribosomal RNA". It matches the Rfam family "Bacterial small subunit ribosomal RNA", at positions 524 to 776 of the family's 1533-position model. The record is from RNAcentral.